This 2878-nucleotide ribosomal RNA is filed under the name Listeria monocytogenes. RNAcentral's name for it is "bacterial LSU rRNA". It matches the Rfam family "Bacterial large subunit ribosomal RNA". The record is from RNAcentral. Lineage: Bacteria; Bacillati; Bacillota; Bacilli; Caryophanales; Listeriaceae.
UUGGUUAAGUUAGAAAGGGCGCACGGUGGAUGCCUUGGCACUAGGAGCCGAAGAAGGACGGGACUAACACCGAUAUGCUUUGGGGAGCUGUACGUAAGCGUUGAUCCAGAGAUUUCCGAAUGGGGGAACCCACUAUCUUUAGUCGGAUAGUAUCCUUACGUGAAUACAUAGCGUGAGGAAGGCAGACCCAGGGAACUGAAACAUCUAAGUACCUGGAGGAAGAGAAAGAAAAAUCGAUUUCCUGAGUAGCGGCGAGCGAAACGGAAAGAGCCCAAACCAAGAAGCUUGCUUCUUGGGGUUGUAGGACACUCUAUACGGAGUUACAAAAGAAAGUUAUAAAUGAAGCGGUCUGGAAAGGCCCGCCAAAGACGGUAACAGCCCGGUAGUUGAAAUNNGGGAGGACCAUCUCCCAAGGCUAAAUACUCCCUAGUGACCGAUAGUGAACCAGUACCGUGAGGGAAAGGUGAAAAGCACCCCGGAAGGGGAGUGAAACAGUUCCUGAAACCGUGUGCCUACAAGUAGUUAGAGCCCGUUAAUGGGUGAUAGCGUGCCUUUUGUAGAAUGAACCGGCGAGUUACGAUUUGUUGCAAGGUUAAGCGGAAAAAGCGGAGCCGUAGCGAAAGCGAGUCUGAAUAGGGCGCAUAAGUAACAGGUCGUAGACCCGAAACCAGGUGAUCUACCCAUGUCCAGGAUGAAGGUAAGGUAAUACUUACUGGAGGUCCGAACCCACGCACGUUGAAAAGUGCGGGGAUGAGGUGUGGGUAGCGGAGAAAUUCCAAUCGAACUUGGAGAUAGCUGGUUCUCUCCGAAAUAGCUUUAGGGCUAGCCUCGAGGUAAAGAGUCAUGGAGGUAGAGCACUGUUUGGACUAGGGGCCCUUCUCGGGUUACCGAAUUCAGAUAAACUCCGAAUGCCAUGUACUUAUACUCGGGAGUCAGACUGCGAGUGAUAAGAUCCGUAGUCGAAAGGGAAACAGCCCAGACCACCAGUUAAGGUCCCCAAAUAUAUGUUAAGUGGAAAAGGAUGUGGGGUUGCUUAGACAACCAGGAUGUUGGCUUAGAAGCAGCCACCAUUGAAAGAGUGCGUAAUAGCUCACUGGUCGAGUGACCCCGCGCCGAAAAUGUACCGGGGCUAAACAUAUUACCGAAACUGUGGAUGAACCUCUUUAGAGGUUCGUGGUAGGAGAGCGUUCUAAGGGCGGUGAAGUCAGACCGGAAGGACUGGUGGAGCGCUUAGAAGUGAGAAUGCCGGUAUGAGUAGCGAAAGAAGGGUGAGAAUCCCUUCCACCGAAUAUCUAAGGUUUCCUGAGGAAGGCUCGUCCGCUCAGGGUUAGUCGGGACCUAAGCCGAGGCCGAUAGGCGUAGGCGAUGGACAACAGGUAGAGAUUCCUGUACCAGUGCUAAUUGUUUAACCGAUGGGGUGACACAGAAGGAUAGGGAAUCGCACGAAUGGAAAUGUGCGUCCAAGCAGUGAGUGUGAGAAGUAGGCAAAUCCGCUUCUCGCGAAGCAUGAGCUGUGAUGGGGAAGGAAAUUAAGUACGGAAGUUCCUGAUUUCACGCUGUCAAGAAAAGCCUCUAGGAAGAGUAGUACUGCCCGUACCGCAAACCGACACAGGUAGAUGAGGAGAGAAUCCUAAGGUGAGCGAGAGAACUCUCGUUAAGGAACUCGGCAAAAUGACCCCGUAACUUCGGGAGAAGGGGUGCUCUAUUAGGGUGCAAGCCCGAGAGAGCCGCAGUGAAUAGGCCCAGGCGACUGUUUAGCAAAAACACAGGUCUCUGCAAAACCGUAAGGUGACGUAUAGGGGCUGACGCCUGCCCGGUGCUGGAAGGUUAAGAGGAGUGCUUAGCUUCGGCGAAGGUACGAAUUGAAGCCCCAGUAAACGGCGGCCGUAACUAUAACGGUCCUAAGGUAGCGAAAUUCCUUGUCGGGUAAGUUCCGACCCGCACGAAAGGCGCAACGAUCUGGGCACUGUCUCAACGAGAGACUCGGUGAAAUUAUAGUACCUGUGAAGAUGCAGGUUACCCGCGACAGGACGGAAAGACCCCGUGGAGCUUUACUGCAACCUGAUAUGGAAUGUUUGUACCGCUUGUACAGGAUAGGUAGGAGCCGAAGAGACGUGUGCGCUAGCAUACGAGGAGGCAAUGGUGGGAUACUACCCUGGCUGUAUGACCAUUCUAACCCGCCACGCUUAGCGCGUGGGGAGACAGUGUCAGGUGGGCAGUUUGACUGGGGCGGUCGCCUCCUAAAGAGUAACGGAGGCGCCCAAAGGUUCCCUCAGAAUGGAUGGAAAUCAUUCGCAGAGUGUAAAGGCACAAGGGAGCUUGACUGCGAGACUGACAAGUCGAGCAGGGACGAAAGUCGGGCUUAGUGAUCCGGUGGUUCCGCAUGGAAGGGCCAUCGCUCAACGGAUAAAAGCUACCCCGGGGAUAACAGGCUUAUCUCCCCCAAGAGUCCACAUCGACGGGGAGGUUUGGCACCUCGAUGUCGGCUCGUCGCAUCCUGGGGCUGUAGUCGGUCCCAAGGGUUGGGCUGUUCGCCCAUUAAAGCGGCACGCGAGCUGGGUUCAGAACGUCGUGAGACAGUUCGGUCCCUAUCCGUCGCGGGCGCAGGAAAUUUGAGAGGAGCUGUCCUUAGUACGAGAGGACCGGGAUGGACACACCGCUGGUGUACCAGUUGUUCCGCCAGGAGCAUCGCUGGGUAGCUAUGUGUGGCAGGGAUAAACGCUGAAAGCAUCUAAGCGUGAAGCCCCCCUCAAGAUGAGAUUUCCCAUUUCUUCGGAAAGUAAGAUCCCUGAAAGAUGAUCAGGUAGAUAGGUUUGGAGUGGAAGUGUAGCGAUACAUGGAGCGGACAAAUACUAAUCGAUCGAGGACUUAACCAAAA